CAGGUAUUCACCAUGACAUAUUCCAUCCAUAAGCAGCAGCCCAGGUAUUCACCAUGACAUAUUCCAUCCAUAACCAGGUAUUCACCAUGACAUAUUCCAUCCAUAACCAGGUAUUCACCAUGACAUAUUCCAUCCAUAACCAGGUAUUCACCAUGACAUAUUCCAUCCAUAACCAGGUAUUCACCAUGACAUAUUCCAUCCAUAAACAGGUAUUCACCAUGACAUAUUCCAUCCAUAACCAGGUAUUCACCAUGACAUAUUCCAUCCAUAACCAGGUAUUCACCAUGACAUAUUCCAUCCAUAACCAGGUA
Molecule: long non-coding RNA, 311 nt
Organism: Oncorhynchus keta (chum salmon)
Lineage: Eukaryota; Metazoa; Chordata; Actinopteri; Salmoniformes; Salmonidae
Exons: 3
Source: RefSeq, a predicted model, not a curated record